CAAAAAGUAGCUUACAUUAAAGCACUUGACUUACAACCAAGAGACGCAACCUUGGCCUUUUUGA
RNAcentral lists this transfer RNA (64 nucleotides) under Varanus salvator (water monitor). RNAcentral's name for it is "tRNA-Val". It matches the Rfam family "tRNA". From Rfam's summary of the family: Transfer RNA (tRNA) molecules are approximately 80 nucleotides in length. Lineage: Eukaryota; Metazoa; Chordata; Lepidosauria; Squamata; Varanidae. The record is from RNAcentral. RNAcentral also lists the same sequence under 1 other name.